AAACUGAAGAGUUUGAUCCUGGCUCAGAUUGAACGCUGGCGGCAUGCCUUACACAUGCAAGUCGAACGGCAGCACGGGUGCUUGCACCUGGUGGCGAGUGGCGAACGGGUGAGUAAUACAUCGGAACAUGUCCUGUAGUGGGGGAUAGCCCGGCGAAAGCCGGAUUAAUACCGCAUACGAUCUACGGAUGAAAGCGGGGGACCUUCGGGCCUCGCGCUAUAGGGUUGGCCGAUGGCUGAUUAGCUAGUUGGUGGGGUAAAGGCCUACCAAGGCGACGAUCAGUAGCUGGUCUGAGAGGACGACCAGCCACACUGGGACUGAGACACGGCCCAGACUCCUACGGGAGGCAGCAGUGGGGAAUUUUGGACAAUGGGCGAAAGCCUGAUCCAGCAAUGCCGCGUGUGUGAAGAAGGCCUUCGGGUUGUAAAGCACUUUUGUCCGGAAAGAAAUCCUUGGCUCUAAUACAGUCGGGGGAUGACGGUACCGGAAGAAUAAGCACCGGCUAACUACGUGCCAGCAGCCGCGGUAAUACGUAGGGUGCGAGCGUUAAUCGGAAUUACUGGGCGUAAAGCGUGCGCAGGCGGUUUGCUAAGACCGAUGUGAAAUCCCCGGGCUCAACCUGGGAACUGCAUUGGUGACUGGCAGGCUAGAGUAUGGCAGAGGGGGGUAGAAUUCCACGUGUAGCAGUGAAAUGCGUAGAGAUGUGGAGGAAUACCGAUGGCGAAGGCAGCCCCCUGGGCCAAUACUGACGCUCAUGCACGAAAGCGUGGGAGCAAACAGGAUUAGAUACCCUGGUAGUCCACGCCCUAAACGAUGUCAACUAGUUGUUGGGGAUUCAUUUCCUUAGUAACGUAGCUAACGCGUGAAGUUGACCGCCUGGGGAGUACGGUCGCAAGAUUAAAACUCAAAGGAAUUGACGGGGACCCGCACAAGCGGUGGAUGAUGUGGAUUAAUUCGAUGCAACGCGAAAAACCUUACCUACCCUUGACAUGGUCGGAAUCCCGCUGAGAGGUGGGAGUGCUCGAAAGAGAACCGGCGCACAGGUGCUGCAUGGCUGUCGUCAGCUCGUGUCGUGAGAUGUUGGGUUAAGUCCCGCAACGAGCGCAACCCUUGUCCUUAGUUGCUACGCAAGAGCACUCUAAGGAGACUGCCGGUGACAAACCGGAGGAAGGUGGGGAUGACGUCAAGUCCUCAUGGCCCUUAUGGGUAGGGCUUCACACGUCAUACAAUGGUCGGAACAGAGGGUUGCCAACCCGCGAGGGGGAGCUAAUCCCAGAAAACCGAUCGUAGUCCGGAUUGCACUCUGCAACUCGAGUGCAUGAAGCUGGAAUCGCUAGUAAUCGCGGAUCAGCAUGCCGCGGUGAAUACGUUCCCGGGUCUUGUACACACCGCCCGUCACACCAUGGGAGUGGGUUUUACCAGAAGUGGCUAGUCUAACCGCAAGGAGGACGGUCACCACGGUAGGAUUCAUGACUGGGGUGAAGUCGUAACAAGGUAGCCGUAUCGGAAGGUGCGGCUGGAUCACCUCCUUU
This 1532-nucleotide ribosomal RNA is filed under the name Burkholderia contaminans. RNAcentral describes it as "bacterial SSU rRNA". It matches the Rfam family "Bacterial small subunit ribosomal RNA". Lineage: Bacteria; Pseudomonadati; Pseudomonadota; Betaproteobacteria; Burkholderiales; Burkholderiaceae. The record is from RNAcentral.